This 253-nucleotide ribosomal RNA is filed under the name uncultured bacterium. RNAcentral's name for it is "partial 16S ribosomal RNA". It matches the Rfam family "Bacterial small subunit ribosomal RNA", at positions 524 to 776 of the family's 1533-position model. The record is from RNAcentral.
UACGUAGGUGGCAAGCGUUGUCCGGAUUUACUGGGCGUAAAGGGCGUGCAGGCGGUUUGUUAAGUGCAGGGUGAAAGCUCCCGGCUCAACUGGGAGAGGUCCUUGCAUACUGGCAGACUUGAGGGAGGCAGAGGAAAGUGGAAUUCCCGGUGUAGUGGUGAUAUGCGUAGAUAUCGGGAGGAACACCUGUGGCGAAGGCGGCUUACUGGGUCUUUUCUGACGCUGAUGCACGAAAGCUAGGGGAGCAAACGGG